AUGUCAUCAAUCUCUCUAUAUAUAUACAUCUUGUUGUUUCCUUAUCGGAGGAGUGAAAAACAAAAUUAACAAUCAAAAAGAAGUUAGUCAAAUGAGUCCUGUGGCCAUUCUGUUCAUAGUGUUUGGGGCAUUUCUCAUGUUUUUGUUCAUCUUGUGGCUCAUUCACUUUCUCUACCACAAAGCUAAGAAGGAUGGCAAGGAAAGCAUCGCCUGUCUUGGCAGCGGUUACGGUGGUGAUUUUGGCGGUUGACUUUAAUCUUACUCGUGCAUCGGUGCAUGGAAACGUGUAGUUUCAAUAUUUUUGUUGGGAUAUAUAUAUAUAUAUAUAUUUAUCCAUACAAGUUCUUCGUUAAUUGUAUAUCUUUUGAAGUAUCAUUCAUAUAAUAGAUUGUUCUAAGUUCGUAAUUAUGCAAAAAUGGUCUAUGCAUGUGCUUGUGUAUAACCGGGAAAAUUGAUUGAAAGUCUCUUCUUAUUAGUCAACAGUUUACUUCAAAAUAUCCCUUUUCUUAAAUCUUAAUGAGUUCAAUAUAUCAAAAAUUGGUUAAUGGAUUGUAUG
This is an RNA transcript of Arabidopsis thaliana (thale cress), 556 nucleotides long. RefSeq lists it as uncharacterized. The record is from RefSeq. The transcript has a single exon. NCBI's taxonomy places the organism in Eukaryota, Viridiplantae, Streptophyta, Magnoliopsida, Brassicales, Brassicaceae.